GACGAACGCUGGCGGCGUGCUUAACACAUGCAAGUCGAACGAGUGGCGAACGGGUGAGUAAUACGUGAGUAACCUGCCCUAUUUUUAGGAUAAGCAUUGGAAACGGGGUCUAAUACCGGAUAACGGGGGAUGGGCUCGCGGCCUAUCAGCUUGUUGGUGGGGUGAUGGCCUACCAAGGCGGUGCUGGGUAGACGGACUGAGAGGGUGACUGGCCACAGUGGCACGGAGCUACGUCCUACACGCGUACGGAGGGGAGCAUUGGGGGCGAUGGGACAAUGGGCGAAAGAGUGAUGCAGCGAUGUGGCGUGAGGUAUUCAGGUUUUCGAGUUGUUUACGUCUGUCGCAAGCGAACGGGUAGGUGCAGAAGAAGCACCGGCUAACUACGUGCCAGCAGCCGCGGUAAUAC
RNAcentral lists this ribosomal RNA (406 nucleotides) under uncultured bacterium. RNAcentral's name for it is "partial 16S ribosomal RNA". It matches the Rfam family "Bacterial small subunit ribosomal RNA", at positions 28 to 526 of the family's 1533-position model. The record is from RNAcentral.